AUGGAUUGCAACCCCAAGAUCAUUUUUUGGAAUGUCCGCGGCCUCAACUCCGGGGCUAAACGUACGGCCGUCCGCAGCGUGAUCUCCGUUGCCACCCCCACUAUCGUGUGCUUGCAGGAGACUAAACUUGCGCAUGUCACAGACUCGAUCGUCCUUGAUACCCUCGGCUCUCUAUUUGAGGACUUCUUCUUCCUUCCCGCCGCGGGCACUCGCGGUGGCGUGCUUCUUGCAUGGCGCAAAUCCCACGUCUCCCUAUCUAACCCCCUCAUUGGCGAGCACCAUAUUACCGCCCUGGUCUCCCCCGUUGAUGGCACCGGCCAUUGGUGGCUCAUAGGUGUCUACGGCCCCCAAGACGACGAGGCCAAGCUCGGAUUUCUUGCCGACCUCCAGGAUGUGCGCGAGGCACGCAUCGGGCCUUGGCUCCUCGGCGGUGACUUCAACAUGAUCACUUCGGCCGCCGACAAGAAUACCCCGACCCUGAACCGCCGCGUCAUGAGCAGAUUCUGGCGCUUCAUUGCUGAUGAGGAGCUCCGCGAUAUGUACAUGCAUGGACGCCGCUACACUUGGUCCAGUGAACGUGAUACGCCUACCCUCGUGCGGAAUGACUGGAUUCUUUGCACGUCCGGAUGGGAGAUCGCC
Molecule: ribosomal RNA, 639 nt
Filed under: Triticum aestivum (bread wheat)
Lineage: Eukaryota; Viridiplantae; Streptophyta; Magnoliopsida; Poales; Poaceae
Description: partial small subunit ribosomal RNA
Source: RNAcentral